RNAcentral lists this ribosomal RNA (443 nucleotides) under uncultured Candidatus Liberibacter sp. RNAcentral's name for it is "bacterial SSU rRNA". It matches the Rfam family "Bacterial small subunit ribosomal RNA", at positions 1009 to 1437 of the family's 1533-position model. The record is from RNAcentral. Lineage: Bacteria; Pseudomonadati; Pseudomonadota; Alphaproteobacteria; Hyphomicrobiales; Rhizobiaceae.
GUUUUUUCUUUUCAGACACCUUUACACGGGCUCUGCGUGUGUGUCCUCCGCGCGUGUCGUGAUAUGGUGGGUUAACUCCCGCAACGAGCGCAACCCCUGCCUCUAUUUGCUAUCGUGUUUAUGUUUUUACCUAUAUGGUGGGUACUAUAUAGGCACUGCCUGAGAUAACCCAGAAGAGGGUGGAGAUGACCUCGAGUCCUCGUGGCCCUUAUGGGCGGGGCCACACACGUGCUACUGUGGUGGUUACUGUGUGGUGCAAACUCGCGAGGCAGAUCUUAUCCCCAAGAGCCAUCUCAUUUCAGAUUGCUCUCUGCAUCUCGAGUGCGAGAACUCAGACUCUCUAGUACUCGCAUAUCAGCGUGCCGCGGAGAAUACUCUCUCGGGUCGUGUACACACCGCCCGUCACACCGUGAGAGUUGGUUUUGCCUGAACACUGUGUGCUA